Molecule: ribosomal RNA, 469 nt
Filed under: uncultured bacterium
Lineage: Bacteria
Description: bacterial SSU rRNA
Rfam family: Bacterial small subunit ribosomal RNA
Source: RNAcentral
AGAGUUUGAUCAUGGCUCAGGAUGAACGCUAGCGGCAGGCCUAAUACAUGCAAGUCGAGGGGUAAGGUCUCUUUCGGGAGAUACACGACCGGCGCACGGGUGCGUAACGCGUAUGCAACCUACCUUUAACAGAGAGAUAGCCCCGAGAAAUCGGGAUUAAUAUCACAUAACAUUAUGAUAUGGCAUCAUAUUAUAAUUAAAACUCCGGUGGUUAAAGAUGGGCAUGCGUGACAUUAGCUAGUUGGUGAGGUAACUGCUCACCAAGGCUACGAUGUCUAGGGGGUCUGAGAGGAUGAUCCCCCACACUGGUACUGAGACACGGACCAGACUCCUACGGGAGGCAGCAGUAAGGAAUAUUGCGCAAUGGAGGCAACUCUGACGCAGCCAUGCCGCGUGAAGGAAGAAGGCCUUAUGGGUCGUAAACUUCUUUUAUUUAGGAAUAAUCCCUCGUUCGUGAACGAGGUUGAAG